UUUAAGUGCAACCAUGAGUUUCUGUGUACAACUUUGAUCAUCCGUCUUAUUUAAUUAGUAUUUUUAUUGUUAUGAGAUAAUAAAACAUGAAUAAUACUUUAUGCAUGACUUAUGUUUUUAAAUUUUUUCAAAAAAAUUUCAAAUAAAGUUAGGUUAAAAAAAAUGGCUGCACUUAAA
RNAcentral lists this microRNA precursor (177 nucleotides) under Oryza meridionalis. RNAcentral describes it as "MIR812 microRNA precursor family". It matches the Rfam family "MIR812 microRNA precursor family". The record is from Rfam by way of RNAcentral. Lineage: Eukaryota; Viridiplantae; Streptophyta; Magnoliopsida; Poales; Poaceae.